Molecule: non-coding RNA, 108 nt
Organism: Dothidotthia symphoricarpi CBS 119687
Lineage: Eukaryota; Fungi; Ascomycota; Dothideomycetes; Pleosporales; Dothidotthiaceae
Source: the annotation of a RefSeq genome assembly
GUCAAUUUGGCCGAGUGGUUAUGGCGUGUGACUCAAGCGAAAGCUUUCCAACAGCAGUUGGGGUUUCUCAUCACGAAAGUGGCAAGGGUUCGAAUCCCUUAGUUGACA